UACGGAGGGUGCGAGCGUUGUUCGGAAUUACUGGGCGUAAAGCGCGUGUAGGCGGCCUUCUAAGUCUGGUGUGAAAGCCCGGGGCUCAACCCCGGAAGUGCAUUGGAUACUGGGAGGCUGGAGUACCGGAGAGGAGGGUGGAAUUCCUGGUGUAGCGGUGGAAUGCGCAGAUAUCAGGAGGAACACCAAUAGCGAAGGCAGCUCGCUGGGACGGUAUUGACGCUAAGGCGCGAAAGCGUGGGGAGCAAACAGG
This 253-nucleotide ribosomal RNA is filed under the name uncultured bacterium. RNAcentral describes it as "partial 16S ribosomal RNA". It matches the Rfam family "Bacterial small subunit ribosomal RNA", at positions 524 to 776 of the family's 1533-position model. The record is from RNAcentral.